Molecule: ribosomal RNA, 1204 nt
Filed under: Rhipicephalus microplus (southern cattle tick)
Lineage: Eukaryota; Metazoa; Arthropoda; Arachnida; Ixodida; Ixodidae
Description: 16S ribosomal RNA
Rfam family: Archaeal large subunit ribosomal RNA (bases 945-1103)
Source: RNAcentral
UUAUAAUAAAAUUUUAAUAAUUUAAUUAAUUUUAAUAAAUUUAUUUUAUUUUUAAUUUAUUUUAAAAAAACUGAAAAGGAAAUUAUUAUUAUAAUUUAAUAGAAAAUUUAAUGUACCUUUUGCAUUAGGGGUUUUUAAAAAAAAAUAAAAAUUUAUUUUUCUCGAAAUAUUUUGAGCUAAAAUUUAAUUUUUCUAAUGUUUCAAUAUUAAAUUAAAAUAAAUUUUAGAGGUGAAAUUCUUAUCAAAAAAUAUAAUAUCUAGUUAAAAAAAUUAAUUAAAUAUUAUUUUGUAAAAUUAAUUUAUUUUUUAUAAUUACAAAAAAAAGUUUUUGGGAUAAGCUAAAAAUUAUUAAAUUUAUAAUAUUUAAAAAAUUAAUAAAAGAAUUAAAAUUUUUCUAUUUAUUUUUAUAAAUAAAUUAAAUUUAAUUAAAAUUAAAAAAUUUUUUUUUUUAAAUUAAAUUUAAUAAAAAAUUUAAAAAAAAAUGAAAAUAUUAGUAAAAAAAUUUUUUAUUUAUAAUUUUUAAUAAUUAAUUAAAAGUUAAUUAAAUUUAAUUUUAAAGAACUAGGCAAUAACUUUUUUUGACUGUUUAAUAAAAACAACGCAUUUAGAUAAAGACAAUAAAUGCAAAUCCUGCUCAAUGAAAAUUUUUUUAAAUUGCUGUAGUAUUUUGACUAUACAAAGGUAUUGAAAUAAGGUUUUAAUUGAAUGCUAAAAGAAUGGAAUAUCAAAGAAUAACUUUCUUAAAAUUAAAAAUUGAAAUUUUUUUAAUUUGUGUAAAAACAAUUAUAAAAAUUAAAGACAAGAAGACCCUAAGAAUUUUUAAAAUUUAAAUUAAUACAUUUUUGUUUUAAUUAAAUUUUAACUGGGGCGGUUAAAAAAUAUUAAAAACUUUUUAAUUUUGAAAAUGACCCAUUAUUAAUGAAAAUAUGAUAAAAUACUCUAGGGAUAACAGCGUUAUAUUUUUUGAUAGAUCAUAUUGACAAAAAAGUUUGCGACCUCGAUGUUGGAUUAGGAUACUUUUUUAAUGAAGAUAUUAAAAUAAGAAGUUUGUUCAACUUUUAAAUUCCUACAUGAUCUGAGUUUAGACCGAUGAGAAUCAGGUUGGAUUCUAUCUUAAUAAAAAACUAAUUUUAUUUAGUACGAAAGGAAUUUUAAAAUCUAAUUUUUAGCCUUAUUUAUUUUAUUUGCAUCAAUUUUUGUAAUU